CGGCGUGUUGUUUUAACCUAAUAGCCUUGAACGCCGUCGUUUCGUCUCCGACGACAUUCACACGCGCACACUUCCACCCUUACCAUCUAUCCGUCUCACACGUGCGUCGGAUGCGAAACGGUGGUGUUCAGGGAUUUUUUAGGUUGCCGGAUUUUACC
Molecule: microRNA precursor, 158 nt
Filed under: Arabidopsis thaliana (thale cress)
Lineage: Eukaryota; Viridiplantae; Streptophyta; Magnoliopsida; Brassicales; Brassicaceae
Description: miR4228 stem-loop (ath-MIR4228)
Rfam family: MIR4228 microRNA precursor family
Source: miRBase by way of RNAcentral